CAGCCGCCGCGGUAAUACGAAGGGGGCUAGCGUUGCUCGGAAUCACGGGGCGUAAAGGGUGCGUAGGCGGGUCUCUAAGUCAGGGGUGAAAUCCUGGAGCUCAACUCCAGAACUGCCUUUGAUACUGAAGAUCUUGAGUUCGGGAGAGGUGAGUGGAACUGCGAGCGUAGAGGUGAAAUUCGUAGAUAUUCGCAAGAACACCAGUGGCGAAGGCGGCUCACUGGCCCGAUACUGACGCUGAGGCACGAAAGCGUGGGGAGCAAACAGGAUUAGAUACCCCGGUAGUCCCUGUCUCUUAUAU
This 301-nucleotide ribosomal RNA is filed under the name uncultured bacterium. Its description in RNAcentral is "partial 16S ribosomal RNA". It matches the Rfam family "Bacterial small subunit ribosomal RNA", at positions 509 to 809 of the family's 1533-position model. The record is from RNAcentral.